This 95-nucleotide non-coding RNA is filed under the name Slackia equolifaciens. Lineage: Bacteria; Bacillati; Actinomycetota; Coriobacteriia; Eggerthellales; Eggerthellaceae. The record is from RNAcentral.
UACGGGGAGCUCGCCGAAGCGGGCUGAGAGGGUGCUUCUUCGCACCGACCCGCGGAACCUGACAUGGGUAAUGCCAACGAAGGGAGAGAGAACAU